UACGUAGGGGCCGAGCGUUGUCCGGAGUUAUUGGGCGUAAAGCGCGCGCAGGCGGCCUCGCGCGCCCGACGUGAAAGCCCCCGGCUUAACCGGGGAGGGUCGUUGGGGACGGCGGGGCUUGAGGGCGGGAGAGGGCGGUGGAAUUCCCGGUGUAGUGGUGAAAUGCGUAGAGAUCGGGAGGAACACCUGUGGCGAAGGCGGGUCUCUGGGCCGAUACUGACGCUGAGGAGCGAAAGCGUGGGGAGCGAACAGG
This 253-nucleotide ribosomal RNA is filed under the name uncultured bacterium. Its description in RNAcentral is "partial 16S ribosomal RNA". It matches the Rfam family "Bacterial small subunit ribosomal RNA", at positions 524 to 776 of the family's 1533-position model. The record is from RNAcentral.